RNAcentral lists this transfer RNA (72 nucleotides) under Loxodonta africana (African savanna elephant). It matches the Rfam family "tRNA". Rfam says of the family: Transfer RNA (tRNA) molecules are approximately 80 nucleotides in length. Their secondary structure includes four short double-helical elements and three loops (D, anti-codon, and T loops). The record is from Rfam by way of RNAcentral. Lineage: Eukaryota; Metazoa; Chordata; Mammalia; Proboscidea; Elephantidae.
GCCUUGGUGGCAAAAUGGUUAAGUACUUGGCUGCUAACUGAAAGGUUGGUGGUUCAAACCCACCCAGCAGCU